RNAcentral lists this unclassified non-coding RNA (224 nucleotides) under plant metagenome. Its description in RNAcentral is "partial contains small subunit ribosomal RNA, internal transcribed spacer 1, and 5.8S ribosomal RNA". The record is from RNAcentral.
UCUCCGUUGGUGAACCAGCGGAGGGAUCAUUACGGGACUCGCAAGACUCCUUCACUCUGUGUACCUCACUACAUGCACGUUGCUCCGGCGGGUGUCCCGCCGGGGGUUUUCCCUCGCCGGGGCGCACCGCCUGCCGGCAGCCUACGAUACUCUGUCUCAUUGCGUUGGCUUCUCGUGAAAAAACAAACAAGUUAAAACUUUCAACAACGGAUCUCUUGGUUCUG